GUGACUUCGUAAGGGCGGAACUAAAAAAUGACGGAGAUUGGUUCCACCCGGACCAUAAUUCUCAAACACCGGGAACUCCGGGAAGGGAAAUCAGGGUUUUAUUGAUCGCAGGUGGAUAGAUGAACGGGGCGAUCGUGGAUUGGGCAGUAUGAAGAGAAGGAGGAGUAUAAAGAGGGCCUCAGAAACUGCAGAGGGGGGGAAAAAGUUCUUUGUUUUAUUUCAGCCGAUACGGCGAGAGAGUUGGAGUGUUUGGGCGAGUACCGUGGAAAGAAGGCAGAGGAUAUUGUUGGCUGGGCAAAGACGGAGACAAGGGUUUGGCAGAAACAGACACCGGGCUGAGUAUAUUGGAAUGUCUACUUAACUGUGAAAUGCUCCAUGGACAUGUGUAACAAAUUCUGAGUGGUUGAAAACAGGAAGACUCACCGGAAGUAUCGCCGAAGGAGGCCUUUUCGACAGGGCACGUGGCAGCAGGAGAAGUACCCAGGAGCUGGAAAGAAGAGGGAAAAGAGACCUCGUGUAGUAACGGUGUGAGUACCCUAAACCAUCGUACAGCAGUAUAAUCAUCUAGAGUGAACCAUCUGUGAGCGUUUUGUGAGUUUGUGGCAUAGUAUGUGAGCGGCCCCACUGUGGAGGAGGAUUGUGGGUGAGCCGGGACCAGUGAGCGAGAGAGGAUGUUGGGCUGUUGUGGCGGCAACGUUUAAAUCUGAAUAUUCGUGGCAUCAGUGUCUUCACGACUUCCAGGAAGAGUCUUUGGUCAGACGGGGUGUUGACCCUAAAUUCACCAGAGUGUGUGGAGUGCAGUGGGUGAGUCUUUGUCCUUUGCUGUGAGUGUAUACACUUGAAAAUUGCAGUGUUGUGCUGUGUUGUGUCGUCAACAACCACCUUUCAGGCCCGACGAAAUCCUGUGAAGGAAGUGAAUACCGAGGCUCGAAGAAAACAUCUCCAAUUAUAUGCCGUCGAUGACAUCCUGACCCUUCUUCCCCACGUGACGGUGGUGGGAAACAAUUUCAAGUAAGAACAGUGUGGAUCUACUGGGAAGUAUUAAUGGUGAGGAGUUGGCUGCUGUAGGAGGAAAUCAGCUGUGCGUGUAUUAUUACCUGCUGUGGAGUUCUUCAAAGGUUCGCCCCUGUCUAGAUCUCUUGACUUGUCGGUUGGUAGAAGCCUCAGAAAAGGAACGUCUGACGUCUAUUCCCUCGAAGGUCUGUGAGUUACAUCACUUCCUGUUUCCCUGUAUAUUCACCGUAAACGUAUGCCCAAAGCUAAAGCCAGCAUAUUGUGUUGUACACUCACCUGUCUGCCCAGAGUGAAGUCCCAGUUACCUUUGAUGUACUUACCUUAUGCCCAAAGCUAAAGCCAGCAUAUUGUGUUUUACGCUCCUGUAUGCCCAAAGUGAAGUCCCAGUUAUAUUGGAUGUACUUACCUUUAUGCCCAAAGCUAAAGCCAGCAUAUUGUGUUGUACGCUCCUGUAUGCCCAAGUGAAGUCCCAGUUAUAUUGGAUGUACUUACCUUAUGCCCAAAGCUAAAGCCAGCAUAUUGUGUUGUACACUCGCCUGCAUGCUCAAGUGAAACCCCAGUUGUCUUUCCUACGGACUUACUUGUGCCUCCGAGUGAAGAGCCAGCGGCCCCUCUGUCCACUAUCCGUGUCCAGUCCUGUUACACUUACACUUAUGCUUUUGUGCAGAUCUAGCGGGUCCCUUUGAAGCGUCUACCUGCAUGUCGACUCGUCACUCAGGAUACAGAGACCGCGGAAACCCCCUCCCGUACACUUACCAGUACGGUUUUAGUUGGAACCCGGUAGCCCUUGUGCAGUUCCCCCAGCAGCUGGACGACCGGGAGUACAACCCGCUGGGCCGCCUCGGAGUUCGUCAAAGGUAGCAGCAGGUAUCCAUUGUGCAUCCAAACUCUCAAUACUUACCACUUGUAUCUGUUACGUCCAGGAAAGGAGAGGGCCCUGGACAGUCGUCCUGCAAGUCAGAACAAAGGGGCACUUGUGAAUAAGCUGAUUGUCGUCACAUAGCCAGAAGGAAAGAGGAGUGAAGGACUCACCUGAGAUCUCCCGUGACGGAGUCUAAGAGACUCGAGAUUGUUACUCUCCAAAAGGAGGGUUGGAUUUUAGCCUCCCUUCCCCAUACCCUUUUUUUUUAGUAAUUUAAUAAAGUCUGUUUUAAAAUUUACUUACCGGCUCUCGUGUGUCUGGUCAUUGGGGUAUUCUUGGGACCUCCUCGAGGUGGAAAUUAGGAAGGGGCGUGACUCACAACAUCUGUGGUCAGCUCCGACCUGUGACACUA
This is a long non-coding RNA of Cyprinus carpio carpio, 2288 nucleotides long. The record is from Ensembl. NCBI's taxonomy places the organism in Eukaryota, Metazoa, Chordata, Actinopteri, Cypriniformes, Cyprinidae.